This 531-nucleotide ribosomal RNA is filed under the name Salmonella enterica subsp. enterica. RNAcentral describes it as "bacterial SSU rRNA". It matches the Rfam family "Bacterial small subunit ribosomal RNA", at positions 76 to 600 of the family's 1533-position model. The record is from RNAcentral. Lineage: Bacteria; Pseudomonadati; Pseudomonadota; Gammaproteobacteria; Enterobacterales; Enterobacteriaceae.
CAGCUUGCUGCUUCGCUGACGAGUGGCGGACGGGUGAGUAAUGUCUGGGAAACUGCCUGAUGGAGGGGGAUAACUACUGGAAACGGUGGCUAAUACCGCAUAACGUCGCAAGACCAAAGAGGGGGACCUUCGGGCCUCUUGCCAUCAGAUGUGCCCAGAUGGGAUUAGCUUGUUGGUGAGGUAACGGCUCACCAAGGCGACGAUCCCUAGCUGGUCUGAGAGGAUGACCAGCCACACUGGAACUGAGACACGGUCCAGACUCCUACGGGAGGCAGCAGUGGGGAAUAUUGCACAAUGGGCGCAAGCCUGAUGCAGCCAUGCCGCGUGUAUGAAGAAGGCCUUCGGGUUGUAAAGUACUUUCAGCGGGGAGGAAGGUGUUGUGGUUAAUAACCGCAGCAAUUGACGUUACCCGCAGAAGAAGCACCGGCUAACUCCGUGCCAGCAGCCGCGGUAAUACGGAGGGUGCAAGCGUUAAUCGGAAUUACUGGGCGUAAAGCGCACGCAGGCGGUCUGUCAAGUCGGAUGUGAAAU